RNAcentral lists this ribosomal RNA (459 nucleotides) under uncultured bacterium. RNAcentral's name for it is "partial 16S ribosomal RNA". It matches the Rfam family "Bacterial small subunit ribosomal RNA", at positions 338 to 795 of the family's 1533-position model. The record is from RNAcentral.
CCUACGGGUGGCUGCAGUGAGGAAUAUUGGUCAAUGGCCGGGAGGCUGAACCAGCCAAGCCGCGUGAAGGACGAAGGUGCCAAGGAUUGUAAACUUCUUUUGUCAAGGGACAAAAUCAGCCUCGAGUGCGUGACCGAGGGUACUUGAAGAAAAAGCAUCGGCUAACUCCGUGCCAGCAGCCGCGGUAAUACGGAGGAUGCGAGCGUUAUCCGGAUUUAUUGGGUUUAAAGGGUGCGUAGGCGGGCUAUUAAGUCAGCGGUAAAAUCGUGGGGCUCAACUCCGGCGAGCCGUUGAAACUGGUGGUCUUGAGUGGGCGAGAGGUAUGCGGAAUGCGUGGUGUAGCGGUGAAAUGCAUAGAUAUUGCGCAGAACUCCGAUUGCGAAGGCAGCAUACCGGCGCCGAUCUGACGCUGAGGCACGAAAGCGUGGGUAUCGAACAGGAUUAGAUACCCCUGUAGUC